Molecule: ribosomal RNA, 1310 nt
Filed under: Paenarthrobacter sp.
Lineage: Bacteria; Bacillati; Actinomycetota; Actinomycetes; Micrococcales; Micrococcaceae
Description: bacterial SSU rRNA
Rfam family: Bacterial small subunit ribosomal RNA
Source: RNAcentral
AGUGGCGAACGGGUGAGUAACACGUGAGUAACCUGCCCUUGACUCUGGGAUAAGCCUGGGAAACUGGGUCUAAUACCGGAUACGACCAUCUGACGCAUGUCAUGGUGGUGGAAAGCUUUUGUGGUUUUGGAUGGACUCGCGGCCUAUCAGCUUGUUGGUGGGGUAAUGGCCUACCAAGGCGACGACGGGUAGCCGGCCUGAGAGGGUGACCGGCCACACUGGGACUGAGACACGGCCCAGACUCCUACGGGAGGCAGCAGUGGGGAAUAUUGCACAAUGGGCGCAAGCCUGAUGCAGCGACGCCGCGUGAGGGAUGACGGCCUUCGGGUUGUAAACCUCUUUCAGUAGGGAAGAAGCGAAAGUGACGGUACCUGCAGAAGAAGCGCCGGCUAACUACGUGCCAGCAGCCGCGGUAAUACGUAGGGCGCAAGCGUUAUCCGGAAUUAUUGGGCGUAAAGAGCUCGUAGGCGGUUUGUCGCGUCUGCUGUGAAAGACCGGGGCUCAACUCCGGUUCUGCAGUGGGUACGGGCAGACUAGAGUGCAGUAGGGGAGACUGGAAUUCCUGGUGUAGCGGUGAAAUGCGCAGAUAUCAGGAGGAACACCGAUGGCGAAGGCAGGUCUCUGGGCUGUAACUGACGCUGAGGAGCGAAAGCAUGGGGAGCGAACAGGAUUAGAUACCCUGGUAGUCCAUGCCGUAAACGUUGGGCACUAGGUGUGGGGGACAUUCCACGUUUUCCGCGCCGUAGCUAACGCAUUAAGUGCCCGCCUGGGGAGUACGGCCGCAAGGCUAAAACUCAAAGGAAUUGACGGGGGCCCGCACAAGCGGCGGAGCAUGCGGAUUAAUUCGAUGCAACGCGAAGAACCUUACCAAGGCUUGACAUGAACCGGAAAGACCUGGAAACAGGUGCCCCGCUUGCGGUCGGUUUACAGGUGGUGCAUGGUUGUCGUCAGCUCGUGUCGUGAGAUGUUGGGUUAAGUCCCGCAACGAGCGCAACCCUCGUUCUAUGUUGCCAGCGCGUUAUGGCGGGGACUCAUAGGAGACUGCCGGGGUCAACUCGGAGGAAGGUGGGGACGACGUCAAAUCAUCAUGCCCCUUAUGUCUUGGGCUUCACGCAUGCUACAAUGGCCGGUACAAAGGGUUGCGAUACUGUGAGGUGGAGCUAAUCCCAAAAAGCCGGUCUCAGUUCGGAUUGGGGUCUGCAACUCGACCCCAUGAAGUCGGAGUCGCUAGUAAUCGCAGAUCAGCAACGCUGCGGUGAAUACGUUCCCGGGCCUUGUACACACCGCCCGUCAAGUCACGAAAGUUGGUA